RNAcentral lists this ribosomal RNA (433 nucleotides) under uncultured bacterium. RNAcentral describes it as "partial 16S ribosomal RNA". It matches the Rfam family "Bacterial small subunit ribosomal RNA", at positions 29 to 507 of the family's 1533-position model. The record is from RNAcentral.
AACGAACGCUGGCGGCAUGCCUAACACAUGCAAGUCGAACGAGACCUUCGGGUCUAGUGGCGCACGGGUGCGUAACGCGUGGGAACCUGCCCUUAGGUUCGGAAUAACUCCCCGAAAGGGGUGCUAAUACCGGAUAAUGUCUUCGGACCAAAGAUUUAUCGCCUUUGGAUGGGCCCGCGUUGGAUUAGCUAGUUGGUAGGGUAAAAGCCUACCAAGGCGACGAUCCAUAGCUGGUCUGAGAGGAUGAUCAGCCACACUGGGACUGAGACACGGCCCAGACCCCUACGGGAGGCAGGAGUGGGGAAUAUUUGAAAAUGGGCGAAAGCCUGAUCCAGCAAUGCCGCGUGAGUGAUGAAGGCCUUAGGGUUGUAAAGCUCUUUUACCCGGGAUGAUAAUGACAGUACCGGGAGAAUAAGCUCCGGCUAACUCCGUG